AUUGAACGCUGGCGGCAGGCCUAACACAUGCAAGUCGAGCGGAGCGGCGGACGGGUGAGUAACGCCUCGGAAUCGGCAUGGUAGUGGGGGAUAACGUCCGGAAACGGGCGCUAAUACCGCAUACUAUCAGAUAAGCCUGGGUCGGAUUAGCUUGUUGGUGGGGUAAAGGCUUACCAAGGUGACGAUCCGUAACUGGUCUGAGAGGAUGAUCAGUCACACUGGAACUGAGACACGGCCCAGACUCCGACGGGAGGCAGCAGUGGGGAAUAUUAGACAAUGGGCGAAAGCCUGAUCCAGCCAUGCCGCGUGUGUGAAGAAGGUCUUCGGAUUGUAAAGCACUUUAGGUUGGGAGGCGUUACCAACAGAAUAAGCACCGGCUAACUCCGUGCCAGCAGCCGCGGUAAUUC
Molecule: ribosomal RNA, 407 nt
Filed under: uncultured bacterium
Lineage: Bacteria
Description: partial 16S ribosomal RNA
Rfam family: Bacterial small subunit ribosomal RNA
Source: RNAcentral